UUGGUGCAUUAAAGAAGUCGUUUUUUCCCCGUAUAAUUUUGGAAAUAUAAUUAUUGGGAAUUACAUAGUAAAACCGGGAAAGUUCCACCGACAACAACGUUUGGUUAUUAUUUUCCUUUUUGUUUUUAUUCGUUUAAAAAUAAUCGUAGAAACCUGCAAUUUCCACCGCAGAAUACUUAUAUUAGCUUUUGAUAGACGCGGUAAAAUGUUCAAAACGUUCCGGUGAUAUUUUAUUUAUUUAUUGAAAUUGUCUAGUUU
This is a non-coding RNA of Cinara cedri, 258 nucleotides long. NCBI's taxonomy places the organism in Eukaryota, Metazoa, Arthropoda, Insecta, Hemiptera, Aphididae. The record is from the annotation of a GenBank genome assembly.